RNAcentral lists this ribosomal RNA (509 nucleotides) under uncultured Actinomycetes bacterium. RNAcentral's name for it is "bacterial SSU rRNA". It matches the Rfam family "Bacterial small subunit ribosomal RNA", at positions 1 to 526 of the family's 1533-position model. The record is from RNAcentral. Lineage: Bacteria; Bacillati; Actinomycetota; Actinomycetes.
AUUAAAGUUUGAUCCUGGCUCAGGACGAACGCUGGCGGCGUGCUUAACACAUGCAAGUCGAACGGUGACGAGGAGCUUGCUCCUCUGAUCAGUGGCGAACGGGUGAGUAACACGUGAGCAACCUGCCCCAGACUCUGGGAUAACAGUUGGAAACAGCUGCUAAUACCGGAUACGAGACGGAGAGGCAUCUCUACCGUCUGGAAAGUUUUUCGGUCUGGGAUGGACUCGCGGCCUAUCAGCUAGUUGGUGAGGUAAUGGCUCACCAAGGCGACGACGGGUAGCCGGCCUGAGAGGGCGACCGGCCACACUGGGACUGAGACACGGCCCAGACUCCUACGGGAGGCAGCAGUGGGGAAUAUUGCACAAUGGGCGAAAGCCUGAUGCAGCGACGCCGCGUGAGGGAUGACGGCCUUCGGGUUGUAAACCUCUUUCAGCAGGGAAGAAGCGAAAGUGACGGUACCUGCAGAAGAAGCACCGGCUAACUACGUGCCAGCAGCCGCGGUAAUAAU